Trichonephila clavipes is the source of this 73-nucleotide non-coding RNA. The record is from the annotation of a GenBank genome assembly. NCBI's taxonomy places the organism in Eukaryota, Metazoa, Arthropoda, Arachnida, Araneae, Nephilidae.
GUUUCUGUAGCGCAAUUGAUAGCGCGGUGGACUUCUAAUCCACAGAUCGUGGGUUCGAAUCCGACCUGGGAUG